This 2240-nucleotide ribosomal RNA is filed under the name marine metagenome. RNAcentral describes it as "bacterial LSU rRNA". It matches the Rfam family "Bacterial large subunit ribosomal RNA", at positions 227 to 2457 of the family's 2925-position model. The record is from RNAcentral.
AAUUGAGAUUCCGGUAGUAGCGGCGAGCGAACCUGGAAUAGCCCAAACCGAAUAGCUUGCUAUUCGGGGUUGUAGGACUUGCGUAAAGGUUAUGAAGGUAAAAGAACUAGUUGGGAAACUAGACCAAAGAGGGUGAAAGUCCCGUAUUUUAAACCGAAUUAACUAGGCGAGUAUCCUGAGUAGGACGGGGCACGUGAAACCUUGUCUGAAUCUGGGGGGACCACCCUCCAAGGCAAAAUACUACUAACUGACCGAUAGUGAACAAGUACCGUGAGGGAAAGGUUAAAAGAACCCCGACGAGGGGAGUGAAAUAGAACUUGAAACCAUACACUUACAAACAGUGGAAGGGCUAUUGUAAAGCCUGACUGCGUACCUCUUGCAUUAUGAGUCGCCGAGUUACGAUGUGUAGCAAGGUUAAGCCGUUGAAGGUGUAGCCGUAGGGAAACCGAGUCUUAAUAGGGCGAAUUAGUUGCAUGUCGUAGACCCGAAACGGGAUGAGCUAACCAUGAGCAGGUUGAAGCGAGGGUAAGACUUCGUGGAGGACCGAACCCAUAUAGGUUGAAAACUGUUGGGAUGACUUGUGGUUAGGGGUGAAAGGCCAAUCAAAUUCCGUGAUAGCUGGUUCUCUUCGAAAUGCAUUUAGGUGCAGCGUCUAGUGUUUACCAUCGGGGGUACAGCACUGAAUUGGCUAGGGGGCUUACCAGCUUACCAAACCAUAUCAAACUCAGAAUACCGAUGAGUAUAACUAGGCAGUGAGACUGCGGAUGCUAAGGUCCGUAGUCGAAAGGGAAAGAGCCCAGACCGUCAGCUAAGGUCCCUAAAUUAUAUCUAAGUGGGAAAGGUUGUGAGAUUACUUUGACAUCCAGGAGGUUGGCUUAGAAGCAGCCAUCCUUUAAAGAAAGCGUAAUAGCUCACUGGACUAGUGAUCUUGCGCCGAAAAUGUAACGGGGCUAAAGAUAUAUACCGAAGCUACGGACUAUUUUUAAUAGUGGUAGAAGAGCAUUGUGUUUACCGACGAAGGCGUACUGAUAAGGAGCGCUGGAGGUCCCACAAGAGCUGAUGGCGACAUGAGUAGCGAUAAGGAGUGUGAGAAUCACUCCCGCCGAAAAUCUAAGGGUUCCUGGGCCAGGUGACUCCGCCCAGGGUGAGUCGGAUCCUAAGGUGAGGCCGAAAGGCGUAGCCGAUGGGCAACAGGUUAAUAUUCCUGUACUUAGUAUUGUUCGUUUGACUUAAGGAAUGACGGAGAAAGGUAGCGGAUCCACCUGUUGGAUGGUGGUUUAAGCAUGUAGGGGGGCGUUUUAGGAAAAUCCGGAACGUUGUUAACCCUGAGGUGUGAUGACGAGGGCGUAGCCCGAAGUUCGUGAUCCUCUGCUUCCAAGAAAAGUUUCGUAAGGAGAACAGUAUUAAUCCGUACCGUAAACCGACACAGGUAGAUGAGGAGAGAAUCCUCAGGCGUUUGGGGUAACUCUAGUUAAGGAACUCUGCAAAUUGGUGCCGUAACUUUGGGAGAAGGCACGCCCUUUGAGGUAAUAUCACUUGCUGAUAGAAGCUUUAGAGGGCCGCAGUGAAAAGGGGGUAGCGACUGUUUAUCAAAAACAUAGGUCUCUGCAAACACGUAAGUGGAAGUAUAGGGACUGACGCCUGCCCGGUGCUGGAAGGUUAAGAGGAGAGGUUAGGGUAACCGAAGCUUUGAAUCGAAGCCCCAGUAAACGGCGGCCGUAACUAUAACGGUCCUAAGGUAGCGAAAUUCCUAGUCGGGUAAGUUCCGACCUGCACGAAUGGCGUAACGACUUCCCCACUGUCUCAACUAGAGUCCCAGCGAAAUUGGAGUGCGCGUGCAGAUACGCGCUACCCGCGGAAGGACGAAAAGACCCCGUGAACCUUUACUGUAGCUUGGCAUUGGGUUUUGAGUAACAAUGCGUAGGAUAGGUGGGAGCUUUUGAUGCGUGCGUUCUGGCGUACGUGGAGGCAUCCUUGAAAUACCACCCUUUGUUACUUGGAAUCCUAACCUACGAUCGUGAUCCGGUCGGGGGACAAUGUCUGGUGGGCAGUUUGACUGGGGCGGUCGCCUCCUAAAGAGUAACGGAGGCGCACAAAGGUUCCCUCAAGCCGCAUGGAAACCGGCUGUAGAGUGUAAACGCAUAAGGGAGCUUGACUGCGAGACUUACAAGUCGAGCAGGUGCGAAAGCAGGUGUUAAUGAUCCGGUGGUUCCGAGUGGAAGGGCCAUCGCUCAACGGAU